Molecule: ribosomal RNA, 407 nt
Filed under: uncultured bacterium
Lineage: Bacteria
Description: partial 16S ribosomal RNA
Rfam family: Bacterial small subunit ribosomal RNA
Source: RNAcentral
AUUGAACGCUGGCGGCAGGCCUAACACAUGCAAGUCGAACGGAGUGGCGGACGGGUGAGUAAUGUCUGGGAAACUGCCCGAUGGAGGGGGAUCACUACUGGAAACGGUAGCUAAUACGGCAUACUAUCCGAUUAGCCUCGGUCGGAUUAGCUAGUUGGGGGGGUAAAGGCCUACCAAGGCGACGAUCCGUAACUGGUCUGAGAGGAUGAGCAGGCACACUGGAACUGAGACACGGUCCAGACUCCGACGGGAGGCAGCAGUGGGGAAUCUUGGGCAAUGGGCGAAAGCCUGAUCCAGCCAUGCCGCGUGUGUGAAGAAGGUCUUCGGAUUGUAAAGCACUUUAAGUUGGGAAGCGUUACCAACAGAGUAAGCACCGGCUAACUUCGUGCCAGCAGCCGCGGUAAUAC